Molecule: ribosomal RNA, 345 nt
Filed under: uncultured bacterium
Lineage: Bacteria
Description: bacterial SSU rRNA
Rfam family: Bacterial small subunit ribosomal RNA
Source: RNAcentral
AGAGUUUGAUUAUGGCUCAGGAUGAACGCUGGCGGCGUGCCUAACACAUGCAAGUCGAGCGGAGGAACUGUGAAUGAGGCUUCGGCGGAUUUUACUUUUCCUUAGCGGCGGACGGGUGAGUAACGUGUGGGCAACCUGCCCUACAGUGGGGAAUAAUCAUUGGAAACGAUGACUAAUACCGCAUACGGUCUUCGGGAGGCAUCUCCUGAAGAAGAAAGGAUUUAUUCGCUGUAGGAUGGGCCCGCAUCUGAUUAGCUAGUUGGUGAGAUAAUAGCCCACCAAGGCAACGAUCAGUAGCCGACCUGAGAGGGUGAUCGGCCACAUUGGGACUGAGACACGGCCCAA